This 256-nucleotide ribosomal RNA is filed under the name uncultured bacterium. RNAcentral's name for it is "partial 16S ribosomal RNA". It matches the Rfam family "Bacterial small subunit ribosomal RNA", at positions 1244 to 1500 of the family's 1533-position model. The record is from RNAcentral.
GAGAAGCGAAGCGGUGACGUGGAGCAAAUCUCAAAAAAACAUCUCAGUUCAGACUGCAGGCUGCAACUCGCCUGCACGAAGUCGGAAUUGCUAGUAAUCGUAGGUCAGCAUACUACGGUGAAUACGUUCCCGGGCCUUGUACACACCGCCCGUCAAACCAUGAGAGUUGGCAACACCCGAAGUCGGUAGUCUAACCGCAAGGAGGACGCCGCCGAAGGUGGGGUUGAUGAUUAGGGUUAAGUCGUAACAAGGUAAC